This 334-nucleotide unclassified non-coding RNA is filed under the name soil metagenome. RNAcentral's name for it is "partial contains 5.8S ribosomal RNA, internal transcribed spacer 2, and large subunit ribosomal RNA". The stretch from base 1 to 120 matches the Rfam family "5.8S ribosomal RNA", at positions 35 to 154 of the family's 154-position model. The record is from RNAcentral.
GAUGAAGAACGCAGCGAAAUGCGAUAAGUAAUGUGAAUUGCAGAGUUUAGUGAAUCAUCGAAUCUUUGAACGCACAUUGCGCCCGCCAGUAUUCUGGCGGGCAUGCCUGUUCGAGUGUCAUUUCAACCAUCAAGCCCCAGGCUUGUGUUGGAGCCCUGCGGCUGCCGCAGCCUCCCAAAACCAGUGGCGGGCUCGCUAUCACACCGAGUGCAGUAGUUUACUCUUCGCUCAGGGCGUGUGGCGGGUGCUAGCCGUGAAACCCCCAACUUCUCAAGGUUGACCUCGGAUCAGGUAGGAAUACCCGCUGAACUUAAGCAUAUCAAUAAGCGGAGGA